Molecule: ribosomal RNA, 469 nt
Filed under: uncultured bacterium
Lineage: Bacteria
Description: partial 16S ribosomal RNA
Rfam family: Bacterial small subunit ribosomal RNA
Source: RNAcentral
GACGAACGCUGGCGGCGUGCUUAACACAUGCAAGUCGAACGGAAAGGCCCUGCUUGCAGGGUGCUCGAGUGGCGAACGGGUGAGUAACACGUGGGUGAUCUGCCCCUUACUUUGGGAUAAGCCUGGGAAACUGGGUCUAAUACUGGAUAGGACCAUGCUGUAGGUGGUAUGGUGGAAAGAUUAGUUUCGGUAAGGGAUGAGCUCGCGGCCUAUCAGCUUGUUGGUGGGGUAAUGGCCUACCAAGGCGUCGACGGGUAGCCGGCCUGAGAGGGUGGACGGCCACAUUGGGACUGAGAUACGGCCCAGACUCCUACGGGAGGCAGCAGAGGGGAAUAUUGCACAAUGGGCGCAAGCCUGAUGCAGCGACGCCGCGUGGGGGAUGACGGCCUUCGGGUUGUAAACUCCUUUCAGCCAUGACGAAGCCCUUGUGGUGACGGUAGUGGUAGAAGAAGCACCGGCUAACUACGUG